AGCAGCAGCCGCGGUAAUACAUAGGGUGCGAGCGUUAAUCGGAUUUACUGGGCGUAAAGCGUGCGUAGGCGGCUUUUUAAGUCGGAUGUGAAAUCCCUGAGCUUAACUUAGGAAUUGCAUUCGAUACUGGGAAGCUAGAGUAUGGGAGAGGAUGGUAGAAUUCCAGGUGUAGCGGUGAAAUGCGUAGAGAUCUGGAGGAAUACCGAUGGCGAAGGCAGCCAUCUGGCCUAAUACUGACGCUGAGGUACGAAAGCAUGGGGAGCAAACAGGAUUAGAUACCCCAGUAGUCCCUGUCUCUUAUAC
Molecule: ribosomal RNA, 303 nt
Filed under: uncultured bacterium
Lineage: Bacteria
Description: partial 16S ribosomal RNA
Rfam family: Bacterial small subunit ribosomal RNA
Source: RNAcentral